AUCAACCAUAGCCUGCCUCCAUCCAGAAUGAGAAAGUGCUUCACCUGUAGUCUUAGGAAUGGAAAUAGAGGACAAAGACGACACAAAUGCAUAAUGGGGUGAUGAUAGACGAUGAUAACUUAAGAAGGUAUAAUGUGGGUUAGUAUUUCGAGUGGAUCGUAUACCUUUUUGAAGUGCAAGCGGUUGGCUAGGAGAAGGCAAGUCCGCAGUAAGAGCAGGGUCCGGCGCUGACAUGAAUCAUCUGGGACUAGGGUUGGACGUGGACGGCGAUGAUAAGUUAGUAGUGGUGGCACUACAACUGGAGAUGUAGAAGUAAUCGUAGAUUCCUCAAAGGUUGGCACAGGUAAAACCUGAGGUAUGGGUAAGACCAUAGAUACAUCAGGAUGAUCAGAAGAUGUAUAGUAAGGUUGAGACUCAAAAAAUGUAACAUCAGCGGACAUAAGGUAUCGAUGAAGAUCAUGUGAAUAACAACGAUACCCUUUUUGAACUCGAGAGUAACCAAGAAAGACACAUUUAAGAGCACGAGGGGCUAAUUUAUCUUUUCCUGGGGCUAAGUUAUGAACAAAGCAUGUGCUCCCAAAUACACGAGAAG
Molecule: long non-coding RNA, 592 nt
Filed under: Solanum tuberosum (potato)
Lineage: Eukaryota; Viridiplantae; Streptophyta; Magnoliopsida; Solanales; Solanaceae
Description: long non-coding RNA (STUB_LNC003561)
Source: RNAcentral